GACGAACGCUGGCGGCGUGCUUAACACAUGCAAGUCGAGCGGUAAGGCCCUUUCGGGGGUACACGAGCGGCGAACGGGUGAGUAACACGUGGGUGACCUGCCCUCAGCUCUGGGAUAAGCCUGGGAAACCGGGUCUAAUACUGGAUACGACUCCAUGACGCAUGUUGUGGGGUGGAAAGCCUUGUGCGGCUGAGGAUGGGCCCGCGGCCUAUCAGCUUGUUGGUGGGGUGAUGGCCUACCAAGGCGACGACGGGUAGCCGGCCUGAGAGGGCGACCGGCCACACUGGGACUGAGACACGGCCCAGACUCCUACGGGAGGCAGCAGUGGGGAAUCUUGCGCAGUGGGCGAAAGCCUGACGCAGCGACGCCGCGUGA
Molecule: ribosomal RNA, 375 nt
Filed under: uncultured bacterium
Lineage: Bacteria
Description: bacterial SSU rRNA
Rfam family: Bacterial small subunit ribosomal RNA
Source: RNAcentral